Molecule: ribosomal RNA, 301 nt
Filed under: uncultured bacterium
Lineage: Bacteria
Description: partial 16S ribosomal RNA
Rfam family: Bacterial small subunit ribosomal RNA
Source: RNAcentral
CAGCCGCCGCGGGAACACGGAGGGGGCUAGCGUUGUUCGGAAUUACCGGGCGUAAAGCGCACGUAGGCGGCUUGGUAAGUUAGAGGUGAAAGCCUGGAGCUCAACUCCAGAAUUGCCUUUAAGACUGCCGAGCUAGCAGGUGAGAGAGGUAAGUGGAAUUCCGAGUGUAGAGGUGAAAUUCGUAGAUAUUCGGAAGAACACCAGUGGCGAAGGCGGCUUACUGGCUCAUACUGGACGCUGAGGUGCGAAAGCGUGGGGAGCAAACAGGAUUAGAUACCCCAGUAGUCCCUGUCUCUUAUAA